UUAACGAGAUACUACAAAAGGUGUAGGUUGAUCUAGACAGCAGAAUGAUGGCCAUGAAAGACAUUAAGCAGCCUGUAAUAAGUCAUUUUCUAACUCAACUAACCCUGACAAUUCAGGGACCCCGA
This 125-nucleotide non-coding RNA is filed under the name Schistosoma margrebowiei. The record is from Rfam by way of RNAcentral. Lineage: Eukaryota; Metazoa; Platyhelminthes; Trematoda; Strigeidida; Schistosomatidae.